RNAcentral lists this non-coding RNA (29 nucleotides) under Rattus norvegicus (Norway rat). The record is from RNAcentral. Lineage: Eukaryota; Metazoa; Chordata; Mammalia; Rodentia; Muridae.
UGCUCUUGCAAAGGACACAGGCUUGGUUC